RNAcentral lists this ribosomal RNA (433 nucleotides) under uncultured bacterium. Its description in RNAcentral is "partial 16S ribosomal RNA". It matches the Rfam family "Bacterial small subunit ribosomal RNA", at positions 29 to 507 of the family's 1533-position model. The record is from RNAcentral.
AACGAACGCUGGCGGCAUGCCUAACACAUGCAAGUCGAACGAUACCUUCGGGUCUAGUGGCGAACGGGUGCGUAACGCGUGGGAACCUGCCCUUAGGUUCGGAAUAACUCCCCGAAAGGGGUGCUAAUACCGGAUAAUGUCUUCGGACCAAAGAUUUAUCGCCUUUGGAUGGGCCCGCGUUGGAUUAGCUAGUUGGUAGGGUAAAAGCCUACCAAGGCGACGGUCCAUAGCUGGUCUGAGAGGAUGAUCAGCCACACUGGGACUGAGACACGGCCCAGACUCCUACGGGAGGCAGCAGUGGGGAAUAUUGGACAAUGGGCGAAAGCCUGAUCCAGCAAUGCCGCGUGAGUGAUGAAGGCCUUAGGGUUGUAAAGCUCUUUUACCCGGGAUGAUAAUGACAGUACCGGGAGAAUAAGCUCCGGCUAACUCCGUG